GCCGAAGUGGCGGAACUGGUAGACGCCCGGGACUUAAAAUCCCGUGUUCAGCAAUGGACGUACGGGUUCGAUUCCCGUCUUCGGCACUA
This 89-nucleotide transfer RNA is filed under the name Pelodictyon phaeoclathratiforme BU-1. RNAcentral's name for it is "tRNA-Leu". It matches the Rfam family "tRNA". Rfam says of the family: Transfer RNA (tRNA) molecules are approximately 80 nucleotides in length. Their secondary structure includes four short double-helical elements and three loops (D, anti-codon, and T loops). The record is from RNAcentral. Lineage: Bacteria; Pseudomonadati; Chlorobiota; Chlorobiia; Chlorobiales; Chlorobiaceae.